This 1315-nucleotide ribosomal RNA is filed under the name unidentified marine bacterioplankton. RNAcentral's name for it is "bacterial SSU rRNA". It matches the Rfam family "Bacterial small subunit ribosomal RNA", at positions 9 to 1371 of the family's 1533-position model. The record is from RNAcentral.
GAGUUUGAUCAUGGCUCAGGAUGAAUGCUGGCGGCGUGCUUAACACAUGCAAGUCGAACGAACCUUCGGGUUAGUGGCGGACGGGUGAGUAACGCGUGAGAAUCUGCCCUCAGGAGGGGGACAACAGCUGGAAACGGCUGCUAAUACCCCAUAUGCCGCGAGGUGAAAUGAAUUUCGCCUGAGGAUGAGCUCGCGUCUGAUUAGCUAGUUGGUGUAGGUAAUGGCUCACCAAGGCAUCGAUCAGUAGCUGGUCUGAGAGGAUGAUCAGCCACACUGGGACUGAAACACGGCCCAGACUCCUACGGGAGGCAGCAGUGGGGAAUUUUCCGCAAUGGGCGAAAGCCUGACGGAGCAACGCCGCGUGAGGGAUGAAGGCCUCUGGGCUGUAAACCUCUUUUAUCAGGGAAAAAAAUCUGACGGUACUUGAUGAAUAAGCCACGGCUAAUUCCGUGCCAGCAGCCGCGGUAAUACGGGAGUGGCAAGCGUUAUCCGGAAUUAUUGGGCGUAAAGCGUCCGCAGGCGGCCCUUCAAGUCUGCUGUUAAAAAGUGGAGCUUAACUCCAUCAUGGCAGUGGAAACUGUUGGGCUUGAGUGUGGUAGGGGCAGAGGGAAUUCCCGGUGUAGCGGUGAAAUGCGUAGAUAUCGGGAAGAACACCAGUGGCGAAGGCGCUCUGCUGGGCCAUCACUGACGCUCAUGGACGAAAGCCAGGGGAGCGAAAGGGAUUAGAUACCCCUGUAGUCCUGGCCGUAAACGAUGAACACUAGGUGUCGGGGGAAUCGACCCCCUCGGUGUCGUAGCCAACGCGUUAAGUGUUCCGCCUGGGGAGUACGCACGCAAGUGUGAAACUCAAAGGAAUUGACGGGGGCCCGCACAAGCGGUGGAGUAUGUGGUUUAAUUCGAUGCAACGCGAAGAACCUUACCAGGGUUUGACAUCCUGCGAAUCUCUUGGAAACAGGAGAGUGCCUUCGGGAACGCAGUGACAGGUGGUGCAUGGCUGUCGUCAGCUCGUGUCGUGAGAUGUUGGGUUAAGUCCCGCAACGAGCGCAACCCACGUCUUUAGUUGCCAGCAUUUAGUUGGGCACUCUAGAGAGACUGCCGGUGAUAAACCGGAGGAAGGUGUGGAUGACGUCAAGUCAUCAUGCCCCUUACAUCCUGGGCUACACACGUACUACAAUGCUACGGACAAAGGGCAGCAAGUUCGCGAGAACAAGCAAAUCCCAUAAACCGUGGCUCAGUUCAGAUCGUAGGCUGCAACUCGCCUACGUGAAGGCGGAAUCGCUAGUAAUCGCAGGUCAGCAUACUGCGGUGAAUACGU